Alexandromys fortis (reed vole) is the source of this 1668-nucleotide long non-coding RNA. RefSeq lists it as uncharacterized. The transcript has 8 exons. NCBI's taxonomy places the organism in Eukaryota, Metazoa, Chordata, Mammalia, Rodentia, Cricetidae. The record is from RefSeq and is a predicted model, not a curated record.
CAUCUUGUAUUGUAUUGUGCUUGUUCAAGCUUCUGACGCUCCACAGCAAGCGAGGUUUCAUGGAAUCCUGGAGAGUUCUAUUUAUUUCCUGUCCCAGGGCCCAGCUGCAUUCCAGUCUAUGUCGUCCAGCCUUGGGCAGGUUUCUCUCACUCUUUGUCCUGCAUGAUACUAUUUAUUUUAAAUGACUUUGUAAUUUUUUCAAACAAGACAUUGUAGGAUAUAUAUAUUAAUAAUAUCUAUAGUAUAUAGUAAUAUAUAUAUAGUAAUAUGUAACUGGUUACAUUUCAUUUUGAUCAGAUAUUAUAAUAGAUAGCUCCUGCUGAAGAUCAAAAAAAUAUUUACCAAGGACUUAUGAGAUUAGAUCUUCAAACUAUAGAGUUUAAAAAGGAAACUUCAAACUGUGCAUCCUCUCCUGGUACUGCGAAUAAUCUUUGUGUACACUGUGAAGAUGUGUCUUUGCCAAGGUGCCUUCUGAUUGAUUUAAUAAAGAGCUAAAUGGCCAAUACUAGACAGAAGGUAUAGCAAGGAGAGGACUCUGGGAAGAAGAGAGGCAGAGAAGCCAGCAAGACAUGGAACAAGUCAGGCACACAGAAUUGGAUAGAGGGUUCCCUAAAGAUGCUGUUGCUCCAAGACAACAUUAAGCAAUCUAGAGAACAAGACACCCACAUUCUCACGAAGUGGGAAUGCCUGGAGUGGUACAAGUCUGAAAGUCCACAUGAUAACAAGAGCUAAGAAGAAGUUGUAUCAACAGGCACCAAGGAGGAUGUGGACCUCCCCAGGGCACAAGUGGAGAGGACAGGAGUUAGUAGUCUCCAGGAAGACCAUGAUCUAGGAUGACAAACUCUCCACUGUUUGCUGCUAAGCAACUUGAAAAGAAUCAAUGGAAAACAAACAGUUGAUGAAAGACAGUCUUCAGGAGCAAAGGGGGCUGAAGACCAAGGGUGGAAGCUGCAUACAAGGAGGAGCCAGCAGCUGAGACAAAGGGGAGGAGAAAUAUCAUAAAACUGUUUUACACUUGCUUGUCUUGUUUCCUGCCUCAACUAUGAAUUUCUUGAUGACAAGAGCCUUCUGCUUUCCUCACCAUCCAUUCUGUAAUUCACUCCCAGGACUUCCUGCCUCCACACUGCUCAUGGUCUACCGGCAAGGUUCCAGUUGGCAGCUCGUGUCUUUCCCCUCUGGAAGCUCCAUGGCUUCUCCUUGACUCCACCUACUCUCUCUCUCUAUCUUUUCCAGCCUGGCUAUAUUCUGUUAAGCCAUUGGUUGAAAGCAGCUUCUUUAUUCAUUAACCAAGCAAAGCAACACAUAUACAGAAGGACCUCCCACACCAGUGCUAUUCCUAGGAAGGUGGUUCUAAAGUCUCUCCUCUACCUCUAUCCAUAUCCCUAUCCAUAUCUAUAGCUAGUUGAGCAGAAAACUGGAAAUCAAGCCAGUAAGCAGCAUUCGUGAUAGUCUUAAUUUCAGUUCCUGUUUGAACUCCUGUCCCAACUUCACUCAAUAAUGGACUGCAGCCUGUAAGAUGAAAUAAACCUUCGUUCUCUAGGUCAUUUUUAGUCGGUGUUUUAUUACAGUGACAGAAAGCAAACUAGAUCAGAAAUUGGCACAAAGAACGGGGUCUUUUUAAAAAAAAAUAUUUAUUUAUUUUUAUUAUGUAUACAAUAUUCUGUCUGU